Non-coding RNA from Bos taurus (domestic cattle), 57 nucleotides. NCBI's taxonomy places the organism in Eukaryota, Metazoa, Chordata, Mammalia, Artiodactyla, Bovidae. The record is from Rfam.
UGGCUCAGACGGUAAAGCAUCUGCCUACAAUGCAGGAGACCCGGGUUCGAUCCCUGG